RNAcentral lists this long non-coding RNA (5697 nucleotides) under Equus caballus (horse). RNAcentral describes it as "lncRNA (ENSECAG00000045406.1)". The record is from RNAcentral. Lineage: Eukaryota; Metazoa; Chordata; Mammalia; Perissodactyla; Equidae.
UCAACCCAGAAGAGAAUGGGUCAUUAAGGUAGAGGGUCAAGUACCAACUUCAUCAUUCAAUAUCCACCUGAGCCUUUGCUCAGUGCUCAAUUAAAAUGUAGGGCUUCCAUCCCAAGGCGCACCAGAUGAGAAGGCCUGAGGGUUCUAAAUAAUAGAUUUUGCUCCAGACAGGCCCAAGGGAGCAGCUUUGGCCUCUAACUUAAACUCUCAGCGUGGCUCAGCUUCUAGACCUAACGUCACCCUGACUUCUUCAUCUUCGUCUCCUCCCUCUUCUUAACUUCCAGCAAAAUUAAAGCUCUUCCCCGUCAACACUUGGUUGUCUCAUUAUGAAAGUUUUCAGUACUGGAGGCUUUUAGAUAGUUUUCAUUAGGCUCCAGUUCUGCUUGUCUGCGGGCCCUGAGAUUCUUAAUUGAUAGAGUCACCUGUGCCCCAAUCCUAAACCAAUCCUGAUCAAGACAGUGGUCCAACCAUCCCAGUGUAGAUAGAAAUUAGUCUUUUUCUAUACACUGGCAGUUUUCAACUGGGGUGAUUUUUUCCACCCAGGGAUAUUUGUCAAUGUCUGGAGAGGUUUAUGGUCGUCUCAACUGGGGGAGUAUUACUAGCAACUAGUGGGUAGAGGUGAGAGAUGUUGCUAAAAAUCCUACAAUGCACAGGGCAAUCCCACACAACAAAGAAUUAUUCAGCCCAAAUGUCAGUCAUGCUGAGGUUCAGAAACCCUGCUGAAGACCUAGUCCCGGGGUGGGCCGUGGGAACCCAGGCUUAUACUGAGUCAAACUUCACUUUAGCCCCCUAUCGUGUUCCCCUUGUCAGUUUGACUUCUGUCUCAAGUGCCUGCUCCAUGCUCCAGUUCUUCCCUGAUGAGUCUGGAAUUUUAUCCUGAACCCUGCCUGUUUAAUUCUGGUCUGACACUUCAGCUCUUCCCAGCCCCCUCACCUGGAUCUUUAAUUGGAGUCCCAUCCACAUAGAUCCAAGUCAGCACCUAUCUAAUUUUUAGUAUUCCUGCUGUAAAAGCCCCCACUGCCAUUCCCUACUUAGCAGAUCAUACCACAGGAAUAAGAACGGUGAAGUCAGCCAGAUUCACAGCCCUUUUGGAUAUUGUCUUCUGGAGUGUUGGCUGUUCUUCUCACGGACCACUCCCACAGCUUGGUCAUGUCACCCAGCCUGGGUCUCAUUUCUCCCCUCUCCCCGAAUCUCUAUCACUGAGGUUCCAGAAUGACUUGAGGCUGAGCUGACUUCCGCAGGAUGCUUUGAGAGAAUAAUUUCUAAUGGAGCAACACUAAGCACUACGCUGAGGGCAACACCAUGCAAUUCAGACCCUUUAACCUGAGCCUUGGAACCAUGAUGAUUCAGGCCAGGACACCAUUCUAGAAUAAUAAUGGUCAUUUCUUGGGUUCUCUCUCUUUCUUCAUUCUCUCUCUCUCUUUAGUAAUUAUUUCAAAUUAUUAUCUGAUUAGCCAUCCCUCAGGCUUCCACUGAAGAAUAAACCCAUAACUAUUUCCCUCCAAGGGGCAGCCACACACCCUGCCAGGAUGUCAUGCUGUCCCCAGGCACAAUAUACAAGAAUAUCCAUGCCUCCCCGCCAGAAAGUAAUUUCCAAGAGAACGUUGACCUCUUAGCUUUUUCCAGACUGGACCAAAAGAGGAAACGAGACAGACACAGCAGCAGAUGGAGAGUAGUUGGCAAGGAUGAUUUAGGCCACAAAAAAGAAACGAGGGGGCUGGCCCAGUGGCGCAGCGGUUAAGUUUGCAUAUUCCACUCCAGGCCCAGGGUUCGCCAGUUCAGAUCCCAGCCGUGGACCUACCCACUGCUUAUCAAGCCAUGUUGUGGCAGGCAUCUCACAUAUAAGGUAGAGGAAGAUGGGCACAGAUGUUAGCUCAGGGCCAAUCUUCCUCAGCAAAAAGAGGAGGAUUGGUGGUAGAUGUUAGCUCAGGGCUAAUCUUCCUCAAAAAUAAAAAAAGGAAUCAGUACAGGUAUUCAGUACAGUAAGGUGCACCUGGGUGGCAUUUUAGCAGUGGGUGCUUUGUUAAGCAGUUGGAAAUCAGGGUCCACCCAACCAGGGCUGGGAUUAGUAUGUCACUGCAAGAACCAUAACCACUUUGCAGUAAAAUCAAGAUGUCAGAAGUUCAAUCUCACCAGUUUUGGCCCCUGUUCUUAUGUUUGCACUGCUGCUUAAAAUGCUAGUUCUGUUGGGUUCUGAAGACACUUUGCAAGGAAGAUUCCCAAGAAACAAACAAACAAGUACGUCAGGCACAAGAAAUGAUCAUCAAAACUCAUCCUUCCUGAAGACAGUGAAAUCAACGACUUUCAUAAAGAAUCUGCUUCACCAGAAAUCAUCCCUGAAACAAAAAAGGGGGGUGAACAAACACAGAGAUAAAACAUAAAAUAUUGCAACCAUUGGAAAGUUCCUAAGGUCUAAAGUAGUAACUUCAUAUUUUUAAAACGUAAUAUUAAAUAGCACACUGCCUGCUAUUUAAUUCUCCUGGAUUUAUGGAGAGGGAGCUCUCGGCUGAGCAUCAGUUGAACACACGUGUUGUGUAGCUUUUUCAGUGGUGGCGAAGGAUUUCUCGUAAGCUAUCCAGACCGUUCCACAUCAACAUCCUUGAUUUAUGUUGGCAAAAAGCAGCUUCCUGUAGUUUUGGUUCCUCCUGAGCUCUUUCCCGCUGCUGAGCCCAUGUGUACCAAGGAGUUACAAGGGACAAAUCUGAGCAACAUGAAUUACUCUCGGAUGUCACCAGAGAGAACAAAUGGGCUAGAAUGGUGACAGCGCAAACCAUGAACAAACUUGCAAGCCAUCGCUGACAAUGAAAAUAACACCAGAAGACUUGAAAUGCACAACCAACAAAAUAGAGCAGUGUGCUUUUCCUGAGUGGGCAGGAUCCGGAUUUACCAGAGGAAGCACAGCCGCUGUAAACACACUCUCUUACCAGCUCCAUUUUAAUCGGUUCCAGAUUCCUUGGGGAUUGAUGAACACAUCGCUGGCAUCACUUGCUACAAAGGUCUGGGCUCAGGCAGCUCUAUAUAAAUUGGCCUUCCCAUUUCAGCUAAUCCCUUCACUGCACAAUGAAACGAAUGUGGGCUAGGAAAUCAAAUGCUGUUUAAAAGUAGGCCAGUCUCUUCCUGAACAUGCACAUAUGAUACACUAAGAACAAAAACCAAAAGCUUCUUCUUAUAAACAAGUUUAAGGAAGGGGUUUUGUUCUAUUUCAUCUUUGUAGUUCAUGAGGGUUCUGCAAAUGCUGUGCCUGAUCCAGUGUCUCCUCCAAUGGGAUCUUCUAGAUUCUUUCAUUAAUAAAGAUUUAUAUAAAAGACUUAUUUAGUCUCUGAAGAUAGAGGAAAGACAGCUUUGUAGCUCUGUGUUGAAAUGCCACACGUGGAUGUAGGGUAAACAACAGAGAAAGAACUAGAGCUGUCCCACAAGCCAGCAACUCUGUAUUGGGACAUGGUUUCAAAGGGCAACUGGAAAAUCAAGAUCAGAAUUUGCACCUUACAUUCAGUUUUAGCUUCUAAAUAUCACCCGUGAACUCCAGAAGGAGCUGGGCCAAGAAAAAAAGGAUCUCUGUCCAUAGCAGAUCUAUAAAUCUCCAGAGGAUCUGAGGAGAAUCUAAGGAGGACGUCUCUGAAUCAGUUCCCUGUGUUGAGAUCAUAGCCUGUUGCAUGACACUUGCCAUCUCAGAACAAAGAGAAAGAGUCAACACCUCGUGACUGUAUUUUCACAAUAGCUGAAAAGCUCAUCUUCUCCUUGAACUCGAAGAUGAUCUCUUGCACCAUUCUUUGACAAGCAGCAGACUGUGGAGACAAGGCAGUGUUUUUCCAGAGAUAAACAAGGUUAAUGGAUAUUCCAUGAUGGAAAGCUGCCGGUUCUAGAUGCUGCCAGCUCCUGUUCAAAAGAACUUACAGAAAGGUUGUCUGGCUUUCACUCACUUCACCCCAAGGCAUUAGAUUACCCAACACAGGCAAUAAACGCAUCUCUUCCUUGUUUUCCUGAUUGUCUGAGCUCUUUAAUGGGGAACCCUGAGCUAGAGAUCACCUCCUAUCACCACCUAAGUUCCCAUGCCGCGAGGUCCUACCAGGUCAUAGGCUAUCAUUCGGUCAAGAGCACCAGGUCCCAACAUGCUAAACUCAGUGGAAAUGGCAGAAAUAGGCAAGCCCUUCCCUCUUUUUAUUAGAUUAUUUGAUGAAAACAAUAGUUAUAGCCAACAAACAUGAAGUCUCCAUUAAAAAAAAAACCACUGAUGAUGCACCUAAGUCUAUUGUUGCUAAAGAAGCAUCCAACAAGUUGCAACUAAUUCAUCCCAUCAGAACGAAUUAUGUAGCCAGACUCCCGCACUCCACCAGCCAGAGUGUUAGUGGGAGACCCUCAGGGUGAUUUUGCUUAAUGUCUGAAAAACAAACAAAGCAAUUGAGUCUUUUAUAAAAACUCAGGUCUACCUGUCCAAAUAAAUCAGAUCUCCGAUAAGAAAACUAAGAUUCCAAGCCACCUUCAAAACCACAGCCACGAAUGUAAAUAGAAGAAAGUGAAACAUCCCAAUUGUGCUAAGUCUACCGUAAGAGUUACCUCUUGCCUCUAAUCCCCAGGUUGCAUAAAUCAUGUUGCUUUGAAUUAAAAUUGGCCUAUAAAUCUAAGGAAUAUCUGAAGAUGAACAAAAAUUCCAAUCAGUCUUGCUCAUUGUGGCCAUUUUAGCAGUCCUGAGUAGCCACUCGCUAAAUAUUUGAUGAAUGAAUGAAUGAAUGAAUGACUCUCUGCUGGUGGAAAUUGACACAGAUCAACAUGUGAUUGUGUCAACCAAACAUUCAUUUUUCAGACUGGUGAACUUUAGGAAGGACUGUUUGCUCCAAUUCUUUGCAAGGCAUAAACAACUAAUAUGCCAGUAUUAAGGUGCAAUCCACACUUAAGCCCAAAGAGAUUUUGAUUUGCUUUUGUUUUGUUUAUUUAUUUUAUCCUUCUUGUAAUUUAACUAACUGGAAGACAGGACAAUUUGCAUGUUUUGCAAUUACUUAGGUCAGAGGACUACGCAGAAGAGACUUCCCAUUAGUAGAUACUGACCCUAAUAUUCUAGGGCUUGACCAUGCUUCCUUUUAACAGGCCACACAACUUUAACCAAAUGGACAUGGAAUAAAAAUUGAUGCCAUGUUCAGUAUGACAGUGAGGGCCAGUCUUAAUAUCAUAGGUCAUGGUGUUACCUAUUCUUUCAUUCUACAGCUAUAGAAUAUUUACUGUAUUGGUUUCAGCAGGCUAGCUUAUGUUGCAGUAACAAAUAUGUCACCAAAUCUCAAAGUCUUAUCCCAACAAAGGUAUGUAUCUCAAUCACACAAAGUACUUUGCAGUUCCAGUGAUUCACCAUGACAGCUUUUACCAUCCAAUAACACACAUAUCUAGGCUCCCUCCAUCAUUUGAUGCCUUCAUCUUAAUGUGUCAUCUCUAAGGUUUUUGUACUAGAAGAAGGGAGGAAAUGGAGAACUCACACCUACUCUUAAAUACCUAAGCCCAAGUCAUAUCACCCUGUAUAAAUAAAAGGAAGCACACGGAUCCUUGGGAAGUACUAAAUGUCUCUUUCAUAGUUACUACCUGUAAGAAAAUGAGAUAAAUGCUGGAGGAUGUUUAGGCAUACAAAAAAAUACACACUGACACUGUUGGGAUUUCUGACCACUCUAGCACUCAUCUCCAGCAUCCUUUCCUUUCAUUCAUUCAUUUACUUUC